AUGGUUUGUGACUGUUCAGCUUUUCAACAACGAUAUCUCUUCUUCUCACUUCAGAUCCGCCGCGCCAACCUCACCACUCCCUUUUCUCCGAUCAACAUCAUCAUAGCGCCACCAUGGAUUUCUUCACUCAGCCUCGUAUCAAUUCGUCCAUUCGAUUUCGUUCACAAUACUUCUGAUCCAACUCACUCAAAACGCUGCGGAAUCGAUCCUCGAAUUCGUGACUCAAACUCAGUUUCGAUUUAA
Non-coding RNA from Vicia faba (fava bean), 243 nucleotides. NCBI's taxonomy places the organism in Eukaryota, Viridiplantae, Streptophyta, Magnoliopsida, Fabales, Fabaceae. The record is from the annotation of a GenBank genome assembly.